RNAcentral lists this ribosomal RNA (433 nucleotides) under uncultured bacterium. RNAcentral describes it as "partial 16S ribosomal RNA". It matches the Rfam family "Bacterial small subunit ribosomal RNA", at positions 29 to 507 of the family's 1533-position model. The record is from RNAcentral.
AACGAACGCUGGCGGCAUGCCUAACACAUGCAAGUCGAACGAGACCUUCGGGUCUAGUGGCGCAAGGGUGCGUAACGCGUGGGAACCUGCCCUUAGGUUCGGAAUAACUCCCCGAAAGGGGUGCUAAUACCGGCUAAUGUCUUCGGACCAAAGAUUUAUCGCCUUUGGAUGGGCCCGCGUUGGAUUAGCUAGUUGGUAGGGUAAAAGCCUACCCAGGCGACGAUCCAUAGCUGGUCUGAGAGGAUGAUCAGCCACACUGGGACUGAGACACGGCCCAGACUCCUACGGGCGGCGGCAGUUGUGAAUAUUGGACAGUGGGCGAAAGGCUGAUCCAGCAAUGGCGGGUGGGUGAUGAAGGCCUUAUGGUUGGAAAGCUCUUUUACCCGGGAUGAUAAUGACAGUACCGGGAGAAUAAGCUCCGGCUAACUCCGUG